AGAAACAUAGAAUGUGAUGGCAGAUAAGAACCAUUCGGCCCAUCUAGUCUGCCUAAUUUUCUAAAUACUUUCAUUAGUCCCUGGCCUUAUCUUAUAGUUAGGAUAGCCUUAUGCCUAUCCCACGCAUGCUUAAACUCCUUUACUGUGUUAACCUCUACCACUUCAGCUGGAAGGCUAUUCCAUGCAUCCACUACCCUCUCAGUAAAGUAAUACUUCUGAAUAUUAUUUUUAAACAUUUGCCCCUCUAAUUUAAGACUAUGUCCACUUGUUGUGGUAGUUUUUCUUCUUUUAAAUAUCGUCUCC
Molecule: non-coding RNA, 303 nt
Organism: Pelobates cultripes (western spadefoot toad)
Lineage: Eukaryota; Metazoa; Chordata; Amphibia; Anura; Pelobatidae
Source: the annotation of a GenBank genome assembly